Molecule: ribosomal RNA, 254 nt
Filed under: uncultured bacterium
Lineage: Bacteria
Description: partial 16S ribosomal RNA
Rfam family: Bacterial small subunit ribosomal RNA
Source: RNAcentral
UACGUAGGGUGCGAGCGUUGUCCGGAAUUAUUGGGCGUAAAGAGCUUGUAGGCGGUUUGUCGCGUCUGCCGUGAAAUUUCCGAGGCUCAACCUCGAACUUGCGGUGGGUACGGGCAGACUAGAGUGUGGUAGGGGAGACUGGAAUUCCUGGUGUAGCGGUGAAAUGCGCAGAUAUCAGGAGGAACACCGAUGGCGAAGGCAGGCCUCUGGGCCAUUACUGACGCUGAGGAGCGAAAGCGUGGGGAGCGAACAGG